Molecule: ribosomal RNA, 460 nt
Filed under: uncultured bacterium
Lineage: Bacteria
Description: partial 16S ribosomal RNA
Rfam family: Bacterial small subunit ribosomal RNA
Source: RNAcentral
CCUACGGGAGGCAGCAGUGAGGAAUAUUGGUCAAUGGACGAGAGUCUGAACCAGCCAAGUAGCGUGAAGGAUGACUGCCCUAUGGGUUGUAAACUUCUUUUAUAUGGGAAUAAAAUGUUCCACGUGUGGGAUUUUGUAUGUACCAUAUGAAUAAGGAUCGGCUAACUCCGUGCCAGCAGCCGCGGUAAUACGGAGGAUCCGAGCGUUAUCCGGAUUUAUUGGGUUUAAAGGGAGCGUAGGUGGAUGUUUAAGUCAGUUGUGAAAGUUUGCGGCUCAACCGUAACAGUGCAGUUGAAACUGGCAGUCUUGAGUACAGUAGAGGUGGGCGGAAUUCGUGGUGUAGCGGUGAAAUGCUUAGAUAUCACGAAGAACUCCGAUUGCGAAGGCAGUUCACUGGACUGCAACUGACACUGAGGCUCGAAAGUGUGGGUAUCAAACAGGAUUAGAUACCCCAGUAGUC